GACGAACGCUGGCGGCGUGCUUAACACAUGCAAGUCGAACGGAAAGGCCCUGCUUUUGUGGGGUGCUCGAGUGGCGAACGGGUGAGUAACACGUGAGUAACCUGCCCUUGACUUUGGGAUAACUUCAGGAAACUGGGGCUAAUACCGGAUAGGAGCUCCUGCUGCAUGGUGGGGGUUGGAAAGUUUCGGCGGUUGGGGAUGGACUCGCGGCUUAUCAGCUUGUUGGUGGGGUAGUGGCUUACCAAGGCUUUGACGGGUAGCCGGCCUUAGAGGGUGACCGGCCACAUUGGGACUGAGAUACGGCCCAGACUCCUACGGGAGGCAGCAGUGGGGAAUAUUGCACAAUGGGCGGAAGCCUGAUGCAGCAACUCCGCGUGCGGGAUGACGGCCUUCGGGUUGUAAACCGCUUUCGCCUGUGACGAAGCGUGAGUGACGGUAAUGGGUAAAGAAGCACCGGCUAACUACGUG
Molecule: ribosomal RNA, 468 nt
Filed under: uncultured bacterium
Lineage: Bacteria
Description: partial 16S ribosomal RNA
Rfam family: Bacterial small subunit ribosomal RNA
Source: RNAcentral